Molecule: ribosomal RNA, 1372 nt
Filed under: uncultured bacterium
Lineage: Bacteria
Description: bacterial SSU rRNA
Rfam family: Bacterial small subunit ribosomal RNA
Source: RNAcentral
GAUGAACGCUGGCGGCGUGCCUAAUACAUGCAAGUCGAGCGAACGGACGAGAAGCUUGCUUCUCUGAUGUUAGCGGCGGACGGGUGAGUAACACGUGGAUAACCUACCUAUAAGACUGGGAUAACUUCGGGAAACCGGAGCUAAUACCGGAUAAUAUUUUGAACCGCAUGGUUCAAAAGUGAAAGACGGUCUUGCUGUCACUUAUAGAUGGAUCCGCGCUGCAUUAGCUAGUUGGUAAGGUAACGGCUUACCAAGGCAACGAUGCAUAGCCGACCUGAGAGGGUGAUCGGCCACACUGGAACUGAGACACGGUCCAGACUCCUACGGGAGGCAGCAGUAGGGAAUCUUCCGCAAUGGGCGAAAGCCUGACGGAGCAACGCCGCGUGAGUGAUGAAGGUCUUCGGAUCGUAAAACUCUGUUAUUAGGGAAGAACAUAUGUGUAAGUAACUGUGCACAUCUUGACGGUACCUAAUCAGAAAGCCACGGCUAACUACGUGCCAGCAGCCGCGGUAAUACGUAGGUGGGCAGCGUUAUCCNGGAAUAUUGGGUGUAAAGCGCACGUAGGCGGUUUUUUAAGUCUGAUGUGAAAGCCCACGGCUCAACCGUGGAGGGUCAUUGGAAACUGGAAAACUUGAGUGCAGAAGAGGAAAGUGGAAUUCCAUGUGUAGCGGUGAAAUGCGCAGAGAUAUGGAGGAACACCAGUGGCGAAGGCGACUUUCUGGUCUGUAACUGACGCUGAUGUGCGAAAGCGUGGGGAUCAAACAGGAUUAGAUACCCUGGUAGUCCACGCCGUAAACGAUGAGUGCUAAGUGUUAGGGGGUUUCCGCCCCUUAGUGCUGCAGCUAACGCAUUAAGCACUCCGCCUGGGGAGUACGACCGCAAGGUUGAAACUCAAAGGAAUUGACGGGGACCCGCACAAGCGGUGGAGCAUGUGGUUUAAUUCGAAGCAACGCGAAGGACCUUACCAAAUCUUGACAUCCUUUGACAACUCUAGAGAUAGAGCUUUCCCCUUCGGGGGACAAAGUGACAGGUGGUGCAUGGUUGUCGUCAGCUCGUGUCGUGAGAUGUUGGGUUAAGUCCCGCAACGAGCGCAACCCUUAAGCUUAGUUGCCAUCAUUAAGUUGGGCACUCUAAGUUGACUGCCGGUGACAAACCGGAGGAAGGUGGGGAUGACGUCAAAUCAUCAUGCCCCUUAUGAUUUGGGCUACACACGUGCUACAAUGGACAAUACAAAGGGCAGCGAAACCGUGAGGUCAAGCAAAUCCCAUAAAGUUGUUGUCAGUUCGGAUUGUAGUCUGCAACUCGACUACAUGAAGCUGGAAUCGCUAGUAAUCGUAGAUCAGCAUGCUCCGAAGAGGACGUUCCCGGGUCU